AUAAAGAAAGUCAACCAGAGGAAGGCAGACUGUCUCCCCAGACACCCCGAUGAAAGGAAGCAUUUUACCUCCUUUUUUAUGUCUUUGCUUGGUUUUGUUGUCUCUCUUCCCCAGCGACCACUUUGGGAACCUGAAGAAACUGUGGUCAUUGCCUUGUAUGACUACCAAACCAAUGAUCCUCAGGAACUCGCACUGCGGCGCAACGAAGAGUACUGCCUGCUGGACAGUUCUGAGAUUCACUGGUGGAGAGUCCAGGACAGGAAUGGGCAUGAAGGAUAUGUACCAAGCAGUUAUCUGGUGGAAAAAUCUCCAAAUAAUCUGGAAACCUAUGAGUGGUACAAUAAGAGUAUCAGCCGAGACAAAGCUGAAAAACUUCUUUUGGACACAGGCAAAGAAGGAGCCUUCAUGGUAAGGGAUUCCAGGACUGCAGGAACAUACACCGUGUCUGUUUUCACCAAGGCUGUUGUAAGUGAGAACAAUCCCUGUAUAAAGCAUUAUCACAUCAAGGAAACAAAUGACAAUCCUAAGCGAUACUAUGUG
This 540-nucleotide small RNA is filed under the name Pan troglodytes (chimpanzee). RNAcentral describes it as "retained intron". The record is from RNAcentral. Lineage: Eukaryota; Metazoa; Chordata; Mammalia; Primates; Hominidae.